CCGUUGAUUCGCACAAUUGGUCAUCGCGCU
Molecule: non-coding RNA, 30 nt
Filed under: Arabidopsis thaliana (thale cress)
Lineage: Eukaryota; Viridiplantae; Streptophyta; Magnoliopsida; Brassicales; Brassicaceae
Also listed under: 2 other names
Source: RNAcentral